AAGAGAUCGGGGAUAACACCUGGGAAACAGGAUAGCUAAUACCGGAUAACAACAGAUGAUGCCUAUCAAACUGUUUAAAAAGAUGGUUCUGCUAUCACUCUUGGAUGGACCUGCGGUGCAUUAGCUAGUUGGUAGGGUAACGGGCCUACCAAGGCGAUGAUGCAUAGCCCGAGUUGAGAGACUGAUCGGCCACAUUGGGGACUGAGACACGGGCCCAAACUCCUACGGGAGGCAGCAGUAGGGAAUCUUCCACAAUGGACGCAAGUCUGAUGGAGCAAACGCCGCGUGAGUGAAGAAGGGUUUCGGCUCGUAAAAAGCUCUGUUGUUGGUGAAGAAGGACAGGGUAGUAACUGACCCUUUGUUUGACGGUAAUCAAUUAGAAAGUCACGGGCUAACUACGUGCCAGCAGCCGCGGUAAAU
This 420-nucleotide ribosomal RNA is filed under the name uncultured Lactobacillus sp. RNAcentral describes it as "bacterial SSU rRNA". It matches the Rfam family "Bacterial small subunit ribosomal RNA", at positions 132 to 525 of the family's 1533-position model. The record is from RNAcentral. Lineage: Bacteria; Bacillati; Bacillota; Bacilli; Lactobacillales; Lactobacillaceae.